Molecule: ribosomal RNA, 75 nt
Filed under: Rodentolepis nana
Lineage: Eukaryota; Metazoa; Platyhelminthes; Cestoda; Cyclophyllidea; Hymenolepididae
Source: RNAcentral
GUCAGCGGCCAUACCACGUAGAAAGCACCGGUUCUCGUCCGAUCACCGAAGUUAAACUACCCGGUGUUGCUGACU